This 329-nucleotide ribosomal RNA is filed under the name uncultured eukaryote. RNAcentral describes it as "partial 18S ribosomal RNA". It matches the Rfam family "Eukaryotic small subunit ribosomal RNA", at positions 1470 to 1796 of the family's 1831-position model. The record is from RNAcentral.
CUCUUCGAUGUUCUGGGUUGCACGCGCGCUACAGUGGCAAAGACAGAGAGCAUGAAUUAAUUAUAGAGUCGCAUCGAGGGAUGUGACGAAUCAGCAAUCGUUGUCGUGAUUGGGAUUGAGCGUUGUAAUAUUUGCUCAUGAAAGAGGAAUUCCUCGUAAGCGCGAGUCACUAACUCGUGUUAAUUACGUCUCUGCCCUUUGUACACACCGCCCGUCGCUACUACCGAUUGAACUGGUUUUUGAAGUGUAGAGAUUGGCAGGCAUGGUUUACGUGCAUUGCAAAGAACCACUCUGAAAAAAUCGUUCGAGAAGAAGUAAAAGUCGUAACA